Molecule: ribosomal RNA, 1440 nt
Filed under: Triticum aestivum (bread wheat)
Lineage: Eukaryota; Viridiplantae; Streptophyta; Magnoliopsida; Poales; Poaceae
Description: partial small subunit ribosomal RNA
Source: RNAcentral
AUGGUGGAGUCCCGGGCGGCGGCUGUGCAGGAGCUCCGGGCGAGGUUCGCGGCGGGGCAGACGCGGCCGGCGGAGUGGCGGGCGGCGCAGCUGCGAGGGGUUCUGCGGAUGGCCACGGAGAUGGAGGCGGAGAUAUGCGACGCCCUCCACGCCGACCUCGGCAAGCCCAAGACCGAAGCACACGUCCAUGAGCUAUCUCUGAUCAAGUCGUCGUGCUUGUUUGCCUUGAAGAAUCUCAAGAAAUGGAUGAAACCCCAGAAGGUUCCUGCAAAGCUCAUGAAUUUCCCCUCGACGGCGAGGAUUACGCCAGAGCCCCUCGGCCUCGUGCUCGUCAUCUCCGCCUGGAACUACCCUCUCUUGCUGUCCCUGGACCCGGUCAUCGGUGCGAUCGCCGCCGGCAACGCCGUUGCGCUGAAGCCGUCUGAGGGGGCACCAGCCAUGUCGUCGCUGCUGGCCGAGCUGCUGCCGCGGUUCGUGGACGGCACCUGCAUCAAGGUCAUCGAGGGCGGCGUCAAGGAGACCACCGCGCUCCUAAACCAGAAGUGGGACAAAAUCUUCUACACAGGCAACAGUAGAGUCGGACGCGUCGUGAUGGCCGCAGCGGCCAAGCAUCUGACGCCGGCCGUCUUGGAGCUCGGUGGCAAAUGCCCGGUGGUUGUCGAUUCAAACGUCGAUCUCCACAUUGCUGCCAAGAGGAUCGCUGCUGGCAAGUGGGGUUGCAACAAUGGCCAGGCCUGCAUUGCUCCUGAUUUCAUCAUCACCACACAGGCUUUUGCCCCAAAGCUGCUCGAGUCUUUGAAGAAAGUUUUGGAGAAGUUCUACGGGAAGGAUCCACUACUAUCAGCGGACUUGUCCCGCGUCGUGAAUGCCAGCCAUUUUGGCAGGCUCAAGGGCUUGAUGGACGAAGAGAUGGUCUCCGAUAUCGUGUUCGGCGGGCAGAGGGAUGAACAGCAGCUGAAGAUCGCCCCUACAAUAUUCCUAGAUGUCCCUCUCGAUUCCGCCAUCAUGAAGGAGGAAAUAUUCGGGCCCUUGCUUCCGAUCCUCACGGUUGACAAGAUCCACGAAAGCUUUGGUCUCAUCAACUCAAUGGCUAAGCCACUUGCAGCUUACCUCUUCACCAGGGACAGUGAGCUCCAGAACCAGUUCGAGGGGGCCAUUUCUGCAGGAGGAAUGCUCUUCAACGACACCAGCAUACAUCUCACAAACCCAUACCUGCCAUUUGGAGGAGUUGGGGAGAGCGGCACGGGCGCCUACCAUGGGAAGUUCAGCUUUGAUGCUUUCAGCCACAGGAAGGCAGUCAUGAAUCGAGGCUUCGCCGGGGAGGCCAGGGCUAGGUACCCGCCCUACUCGGCACCAAAGCUCAAGAUCCUCAAAGGAGUGCUUGAAGGCAAGCUGGGAGACAUGAUUCAGGCUAUCCUGGGGUUCCCAAGAGGGAAAUGA